GAUGAACGCUGGCGGCGUGCCUAAUACAUGCAAGUCGAGCGAACGGACGAGAGUCUUGCUUCUCUGAAGAUUUCGGCGGGAAGGGGAGUAAAACGUGGAUAACCCACCUCUAAUACUGGGAUAAAUUCGUUAAACCGGAGCUCAAACCGGAGAAAACUUUAUACAGCAUGGUUCAGAAGUGAAAGACGGUCUUUCUGUCACAUUUAGAUAUGUCUGUGCUGCAUUUGAUCGUUGUUAGGGUAAAGGCUUACCACGGCACGGAGGCAUAGCCGACCUGUGAGGGGGAUCGGCCACACUGAACCUGAGACCCGUCCCAGCCCCUAAGGGGAGGCAGCGGUGGGGAAUCUUCGGCAAUGGGCGAAAGCCUGACGGAGCAACGCGGCGUGAGUGAAGAAGUAUUUCGGUUGGUAAAGCCCUGUUGUUAGGAAAGAAUGAUUGUGUAGUAACUAUACACAGUAGAGAGGUUACCAAACAAGAAAGCCCCGGCUAACUCCGG
This 496-nucleotide ribosomal RNA is filed under the name uncultured bacterium. RNAcentral describes it as "partial 16S ribosomal RNA". It matches the Rfam family "Bacterial small subunit ribosomal RNA", at positions 28 to 506 of the family's 1533-position model. The record is from RNAcentral.